AUUGAACGCUGGCGGCAGGCCUAACACAUGCAAGUCGAGCGGAUGAAGGGAGCUUGCUCCUGGAUUCAGCGGCGGACGGGUGAGUAAUGCCUAGGAAUCUGCCUGGUAGUGGGGGAUAACGUCCGGAAACGGGCGCUAAUACCGCAUACGUCCUGAGGGAGAAAGUGGGGGAUCUUCGGACCUCACGCUAUCAGAUGAGCCUAGGUCGGAUUAGCUAGUUGGUGGGGUAAGGGCCUACCAAGGCGACGAUCCGUAACUGGUCUGAGAGGAUGAUCAGUCACACUGGAACUGAGACACGGUCCAGACUCCUACGGGAGGCAGCAGUGGGGAAUAUUGGACAAUGGGCGAAAGCCUGAUCCAGCCAUGCCGCGUGUGUGAAGAAGGUCUUCGGAUUGUAAAGCACUUUAAGUUGGGAGGAAGGGCAGUAAGUUAAUACCUUGCUGUUUUGACGUUACCAACAGAAUAAGCACCGGCUAACUUCGU
RNAcentral lists this ribosomal RNA (483 nucleotides) under uncultured bacterium. RNAcentral describes it as "partial 16S ribosomal RNA". It matches the Rfam family "Bacterial small subunit ribosomal RNA", at positions 30 to 506 of the family's 1533-position model. The record is from RNAcentral.